CUCCUACGGGGGGCAGCAGUGGGGAAUAUUGCACAAUGGGGGAAACCCUGAUGCAGCGACGCCGCGUGAGUGAAGAAGUAUCUCGGUAUGUAAAGCUCUAUCAGCAGGAAAGAUAAUGACGGUACCUGACUAAGAAGCCCCGGCUAACUACGUGCCAGCAGCCGCGGUAAUACGUAGGGGGCAAGCGUUAUCCGGAUUUACUGGGUGUAAAGGGAGCGUAGACGGCAGCGCAAGUCUGGAGUGAAAUGC
Molecule: ribosomal RNA, 249 nt
Filed under: uncultured bacterium
Lineage: Bacteria
Description: partial 16S ribosomal RNA
Rfam family: Bacterial small subunit ribosomal RNA
Source: RNAcentral